Molecule: ribosomal RNA, 468 nt
Filed under: uncultured bacterium
Lineage: Bacteria
Description: partial 16S ribosomal RNA
Rfam family: Bacterial small subunit ribosomal RNA
Source: RNAcentral
GACGAACGCUGGCGGCGUGCUUAACACAUGCAAGUCGAACGGAAAGGCCCUGCUUUUGUUGGGUGCUCGAGUGGCGAACGGGUGAGUAACACGUGAGUAACCUGUCCUUGACUUUGGGAUAACUUCAGGAAACUGGGGCUAAUACCGGAUAGGAGCUCCUGCUGCAUGGUGGGGGUUGGAAAGUUUCGGCGUUUGGGGAUGGACUCGCGGCUUAUCAGCUUGUUGGUGGGGUAGUGGCUUACCAAGGCUUUGACGGGUAGCCGGCCUGAGAGGGUGACCGGCCACAUUGGGCCUGGGAUACGGGCCAGACUCAUACGGGAGGCAGCAGUGGAGACUAUUGCACAAUGGGCGGAAGGCUGAUGCAGCAACGCCGCGUGCGGGAGGACGGCCUUCGGGUUGUAACCCGCUUUCGCCUGUGACGAAGAGUGAGUGACGGUAAUGGGUAAAGAAGCAACGGCUAACUACGUG